This 407-nucleotide ribosomal RNA is filed under the name uncultured Ignavibacteriales bacterium. RNAcentral's name for it is "bacterial SSU rRNA". It matches the Rfam family "Bacterial small subunit ribosomal RNA", at positions 506 to 916 of the family's 1533-position model. The record is from RNAcentral. Lineage: Bacteria; Pseudomonadati; Ignavibacteriota; Ignavibacteria; Ignavibacteriales.
UGUCAGCAGCCGCGGUAAUACGUAGGGGGCAAGCGUUGUCCGGAUUUACUGGGUGUAAAGGGCGUGUAGGCGGACUUAAUAGUCAGUGGUGAAAUCCUGCGGCUCAACCGUAGAACUGCCUCUGAUACUAUAAGUCUUGAGUUCGGAAGAGAAAGAUGGAAUUCCAGGUGUAGCGGUGAAAUGCGUAGAUAUCUGGAAGAACACCGGUGGCGAAGGCGAUCUUUUGGUCCGAAACUGACGCUGAUACGCGAAAGCGUGGGGAGCGAACAGGAUUAGAUACCCUGGUAGUCCACGCUGUAAACGAUGAAUACUAGGUGUCGGAUUUUAUAUUCGGUGCUGUAGCUAACGCAUUAAGUAUUCCACCUGGGGAGUACGAUCGCAAGGUUGAAACUCAAAUGAAUUGACGG